Molecule: ribosomal RNA, 468 nt
Filed under: uncultured bacterium
Lineage: Bacteria
Description: partial 16S ribosomal RNA
Rfam family: Bacterial small subunit ribosomal RNA
Source: RNAcentral
GACGAACGCUGGCGGCGUGCUUAACACAUGCAAGUCGAACGGAAAGGCCCUGCUUUUGUGGUGUGCUCGAGUGGCGAACGUGUGUGUAACACGUGAGUAACCUGCCCUUGACUUUGGGAUAACUUCAGGAAACUGGGGCUAAUACCAGAUAGGAGCUCCUGCGGCAUGGGGGUGGUUGGAAAGUUUCGGCGGUUGGGGAUGGACUCCCGGCUUAUCAGCUGGUGGGGGGGGGAGUGGCUUACCAAGGCUUUGACGGGUGGCCGGCCUGAGUGGGUGACCGGCAACAUUGGGCCUGAGAUACGGCCAAGACUCCACCGGGAGGAAGCGGUGGGGAAUAUUGAACAAUGGGCGGAAGCCUGAUGAAGCAACGCCGCGUGCGGGAUACCGGCCUUCGGGUUGUAAACCGCUUUCGCCUGUAACGAAGCGUGAGUGACGGUAAUGGGUAAAGAAGCACCGGCUAACUACGUG